AGUGUUGAGCUGAACUGCUGCGGUUGGGUACAGGACUCUGGAAGCCAAAGAGACAAGAUACAGGGCUGUAGCAUCACAAGGAACUGCAGGCCAUCUUUGGACACUCUGAGGCAUCUCUACCUGUUUGGAGGCUAGUUGGAUGGAUGGAAAUGCAAGAAAACCUCCCUGGAGACCAGAAGUUGCCUGAGUACUCUCACGUGGGUCCUGUGAUAGGCCUGAAGAUGGGCCAGAAGCAGCAGAGAGAAGGAGAGAGGCUGGAUGCUGCUGGAAGCCUGGUCCAUGACAGCAUCCUCCAAAGCACUCUUCAGGCUAAAAUGAGCUUCAUCCAGCCUCAUCUUGCCAGUAACAAAUACAUCCGACAGCCAGUUGACUGUUGUAAUUCCUGGAAGAGGAACUUUGGUGGUCUGUCUUGGCCAAAGAUGGCUGUACUGGCUGGUUUUGUGUGUCAACAUGACACAGGCUGGAGUUAUCACAGAGAAAGGAGCUACAUUUGGGGAAGUGCCUCCAUGAGAUCCAACUGUGGGGCAUUUUCUCAGUUGGUGACCAAGGGGGGCAGGCCCAUUGUGGGUAGUACCAUCUCUGGCCUGAUAGUUUUGGGUUCUAUAAGAGAGCAAGCUGAGCAAUCCAGAGGAAGCAAGCCAGUGAGUAAUAUCGCUCCAUGGCCUCUGCAUCAGCUCCUGCUUCCUGACCUGCUUGAGUUCCAGUCCUGACUUCCUUUGGUGAUGAACAGCAAUGUGGAAGUGUAAGCUGAAUAAACCCUUUCCUCCCCAA
RNAcentral lists this long non-coding RNA (771 nucleotides) under Mus musculus (house mouse). RNAcentral describes it as "predicted gene, 30472". The record is from RNAcentral. Lineage: Eukaryota; Metazoa; Chordata; Mammalia; Rodentia; Muridae.